UUCUUUCUCCUCGGUUCUUGUUGCCUCUAGCAAAAACACUACUUCACCCUAGCAAACUAUUAAAAAAAGCAAAAUCCAUGCUACUUGCUUGGCCUACUCCAUCAACGCAUGAAUGUGCCUGCAAAAUGUCAGAAAAGACUUUUCUAGUGCUCUCACAUCACUCUAGUGAAUUACCCUAGUGACAGUUUUUUCACGCUAUCUUGUUUACUGUCUUUUUUUACUUCAGUUUGGAGGAAAUGUGCUGCUUUUCACAUGCUCAGUGGCUGAGGUGUCCUUAGUAUCAAUUAACUGCAGACCCACAGCGUUGUUGUGAGAAUAUGAAAGUUAGGACUGACUCCUAUUUCUUGAGAAACAAGGGGUGGCUUUUUGAAGAGGUAAUCAGCCUGACUACCUGCAGCUGCCCUGCCUUGGAAUUCUUAAUCAGUUGUGUGUGUGCAAGAAAAGGCUGAGGGUGGUACAGGUCUAACUCACUUCAUGGGGGUCCUCCAGAAUGCAAAUCCACCAGCACUAGAGAUUUAAAGUGAUAUGCCCAGUUAAACAGAGCAACUGAAAAAAGGGCAGUGUGCUCUUUAAGAUAUGUGUUCUUGUCUAAUCUGCUGUUAUUGUAUCGGAAGUCUCUUUUAGAAGUAUUUGCUUAAUGGAUAAACAGGAUAAAAUCUGCAAAUAAGGACUAGGCUUUUGUCCUGUCAUCUCAAAGCAUUAUUUCCCUGUUUGUCCCCAUGAAAUUUGCUCAAACAGUAUCCAUUGGCAGCUCAGGUACGUUUCCCUUGUCAACUCUCUUCUGGAUUAUUUCCAGAACCUGCACAAGAGAUUUUGAAAAUUAGCAGCGUUAACAGCUGGCUUGUCGUGGGCAGUCCCAAGGAAGUCGAGGUCACUGGUUGUCAGUCAGCUGUUCAGGAGUCGUACCGAAAUAGCAACACAGCUCCACCGUCAGCUCUUCAUUAUCUGGGACAAAGACUGGAACACAAGAGAAGAGUUUGGAAAAAUCCAGCUAAGAAUCCAGUGUUCCAUAAAGGCAGUGCCAGUGUUCCAUAAAGGCAGUGAGGAAAAGCCAUGCUCAGCAUCUGAGGGGCAGGUAUGCAAAGUUGAGAGUCGGAACUGGAUGAUCUUUAAGGUCCCAAGCCAUUCUAUAAUUCAGUACCUUGCAUUGUGUAGUACCUGCUGGAGCUACAGAGAUGAAAAGGACACAAUGAACUGCACCUGUCACUCACUAUACAUGUAUGAAGCUAGGUUAUGUAUUUUCAUCAAGAGUUUCUUGUUCUGCUACACUGAACAAACUGUCUUUUACUUAAAGUUGUUUGGGUGUUGUUUUCUUUUUGAGAGUAACGUGGGGUAGGUGGCUAACAAAAAGCGUGUGUUGACAAGGUCUAACACCAUGGAAUGGUGCGUGUCAACAGAACUUUCAAGCAAAUUGCAUUAAUAUCUAUGUGAAGUAGUUGACAUGAAACUGAAGGCGUCUUCUAAAAUCUUACUGAAGUUGCAGUGAUAGAAAUAUGCUCAUUAUACAGGCCACUUUCCAGAUGCCUAUUAAAAACUCCUGUAUUAACUCUGGCUCAGUGUGUAUGUGGCUUCUCUCUUCUUGUGCUUGACAACCAACACUUGCAUCAGUAUAUAUAUAUAUAUAUCAGUGCACACCCAGCU
This is a long non-coding RNA of Numida meleagris (helmeted guineafowl), 1641 nucleotides long. RefSeq lists it as uncharacterized. Lineage: Eukaryota; Metazoa; Chordata; Aves; Galliformes; Numididae. The record is from RefSeq and is a predicted model, not a curated record. The transcript has 5 exons.